AAAUAACUAAAAUCUUUAAAAGCACACAUAAAUCAAAGGCUUCGUUUGGGAUUGCGGGGAGAUUGCGUUACGUGCGGUGAGAAAGUACGUUGGAAAAAUAUCCUGUUGGUUUUCGUACGUAAUAUUGCAUUCCGCAUAUCGUGAUAAGUCGGUUACGAUAUAUUUUUUGCAGUCCCACCGGAGUACGCAGAAGUAUAUCCCAAUAUGCUUUUUCUUCAACUCUAUUUUAUCUAAUAACAUUAGAUAGAGCCUAAUACCAAACUAAGUCUAAGUAUUCAAAAUUUAAUACAUUUUCUAGAAUAUGUGUGCAAAAAUUUAAAGAAUCAGAAAGAAUUAUACUACACAUGCAACCAAAUAAAAAUGUAUGAUAUACAUUCUAUCAAUCUUAAGAUGAAAAUUUUUAACUAGUCAAAAACAUCUCAUC
This 424-nucleotide long non-coding RNA is filed under the name Ananas comosus (pineapple). RNAcentral describes it as "long non-coding RNA (ACOM_LNC008694)". The record is from RNAcentral. Lineage: Eukaryota; Viridiplantae; Streptophyta; Magnoliopsida; Poales; Bromeliaceae.